GAUGAACGCUGGCGGCGUGCCUAAUACAUGCAAGUCGAGCGAACAGACGAGGAGCUUGCUCCUCUGACGUUAGCGGCGGACGGGUGAGUAACACGUGGAUAACCUACCUAUAAGACUGGGAUAACUUCGGGAAACCGGAGCUAAUACCGGAUAAUAUAUUGAACCGCAUGGUUCAAUAGUGAAAGUCGGUUUUGCUGUCACUUAUAGAUGGAUCCGCGCCGCAUUAGCUAGUUGGUAAGGUAACGGCUUACCAAGGCAACGAUGCGUAGCCGACCUGAGAGGGUGAUCGGCCACACUGGAACUGAAACACGGUCCAGACUCCUACGGGAGGCAGCAGUAGGGAAUCUUCCGCAAUGGGCGAAAGCUUGACGGAGCAACGCCGCGUGAGUGAUGAAGGUCUUCGGAUCGUAAAACUCUGUUAUUAGGGAAGAACAAAUGUGUAAGUAACUAUGCACGUCUUGACGGUACCUAAUCAGAAAGCCACGGCUAACUACGUG
This 497-nucleotide ribosomal RNA is filed under the name uncultured bacterium. RNAcentral's name for it is "partial 16S ribosomal RNA". It matches the Rfam family "Bacterial small subunit ribosomal RNA", at positions 28 to 507 of the family's 1533-position model. The record is from RNAcentral.